Molecule: non-coding RNA, 112 nt
Filed under: Trichuris muris
Lineage: Eukaryota; Metazoa; Nematoda; Enoplea; Trichinellida; Trichuridae
Source: RNAcentral
GUGCGUCGAGGAAGGAGAGAUUGUUAGCACUCCCCUUCGUAAGGACGGAGAGGUAUCUCGAGCACACAUCGAAUCCGAUUGUCGCCUACUUCGCGUCAGUCGGAGUUUUUGC